GUGCUAGCUUCGGCAGCACAUAUAUAAAAUUGGAACGAUACAGCGAAGAUUAGCAUGGCCCCUGCAUAAGGAUGACACACGAAUUCAUGAAGCGUUCCAUAUUUAA
RNAcentral lists this small nuclear RNA (106 nucleotides) under Propithecus coquereli (Coquerel's sifaka). The record is from RNAcentral. Lineage: Eukaryota; Metazoa; Chordata; Mammalia; Primates; Indriidae.